RNAcentral lists this ribosomal RNA (250 nucleotides) under uncultured bacterium. Its description in RNAcentral is "partial 16S ribosomal RNA". It matches the Rfam family "Bacterial small subunit ribosomal RNA", at positions 524 to 776 of the family's 1533-position model. The record is from RNAcentral.
UACGAAGGGGGCUAGCGUUGCUCGGAAUCACUGGGCGUAAAGGCGCGUAGGCGGCCGAUUAAGUCGGGGUGAAAGCCUGUGGCUCAACCACAGAAUUGCCUUCGAUACUGGUUGGCUUGAGACCGGAAGAGGACAGCGGAACUGCGAGUGUAGAGGUGAAAUUCGUAGAUAUUCGCAAGAACACCAGUGGCGAAGGCGGCUCACUGGCCCGUUACCGACGCUCAGGCGCGACAGCGUGGGAGCAAACAGG